This 448-nucleotide ribosomal RNA is filed under the name uncultured bacterium. Its description in RNAcentral is "SSU rRNA". It matches the Rfam family "Bacterial small subunit ribosomal RNA", at positions 26 to 518 of the family's 1533-position model. The record is from RNAcentral.
AGAGUGAACGCUGGCGGCAGGCUUAACACAUGCAAGUCGAGCGGGCGUAGCAAUACGUCAGCGGCAGACGGGUGAGUAACGCGUGGGAACAUACCUUUUGGUUCGGAACAACACAGGGAAACUUGUGCUAAUACCGGAUAAGCCCUUACGGGGAAAGAUUUAUCGCCGAAAGAUUGGCCCGCGUCUGAUUAGCUAGUUGGUGAGGUAACGGCUCACCAAGGCGACGAUCAGUAGCUGGUCUGAGAGGAUGAUCAGCCACAUUGGGACUGAGACACGGCCCAAACUCCUACGGGAGGCAGCAGUGGGGAAUAUUGGACAAUGGGCGCAAGCCUGAUCCAGCCAUGCCGCGUGAGUGAUGAAGGCCCUAGGGUUGUAAAGCUCUUUUGUGCGGGAAGAUAAUGACGGUACCGCAAGAAUAAGCCCCGGCUAACUUCGUGCCAGCAGCCGC